CCUACGGGUGGCAGCAGUAGGGAAUCUUCCACAAUGGGCGAAAGCCUGAUGGAGCAACGCCGCGUGGGUGAAGAAGGUCUUCGGAUCGUAAAACUCUGUUGUUAGAGAAGAAAGUGCGUGAGAGUAACUGUUCACGUUUCGACGGUAUCUAACCAGAAAGCCACGGCUAACUACGUGCCAGCAGCCGCGGUAAUACGUAGGUGGCAAGCGUUAUCCGGAUUUAUUGGGCGUAAAGGGAACGCAGGCGGUCUUGUAAGUCUGAUGUGAAAGCCUUCGGCUUAACCGGAGUAGUGCAUUGGAAACUGGGAGACUUGAGUGCAGAAGAGGUGAGUGGAACGCCAUGUGUAGCGGUGAAAUGCGUAGAGAUAUGGAAGAACACCAGUGGCGAAAGCAGCUCUCUGGUCUGUAACUGACGCUGAGGUUCGAAAGCGUGGGUAGCAAACAGGAUUAGAUACCCCGGUAGUC
RNAcentral lists this ribosomal RNA (465 nucleotides) under uncultured bacterium. RNAcentral describes it as "partial 16S ribosomal RNA". It matches the Rfam family "Bacterial small subunit ribosomal RNA", at positions 338 to 795 of the family's 1533-position model. The record is from RNAcentral.